AGUCACUGACAUUAGAUACCCCUGUAGUCCCAGCCGUAAACAAUGUGCGUUAGGUGUGUCGGUAACCACGCGUUACUGAUGCGCCGAAGAGAAAUCGUGAAACGCACCGCCUGGGAAGUACGGUCGCAAGGCUGAAACUUAAAGGAAUUGGCGGGGGAGCACCACAACAGGUGGAGCCUGCGGUUUAAUUGGAUUCAACGCCGGACAUCUCACCGGAUAAGACAGCUGAAUGAUUGUCAAUCUGAAGGUUUUACAUGACUAGCUG
Molecule: ribosomal RNA, 265 nt
Filed under: uncultured archaeon
Lineage: Archaea
Description: partial 16S ribosomal RNA
Rfam family: Archaeal small subunit ribosomal RNA
Source: RNAcentral